This 433-nucleotide ribosomal RNA is filed under the name uncultured bacterium. Its description in RNAcentral is "partial 16S ribosomal RNA". It matches the Rfam family "Bacterial small subunit ribosomal RNA", at positions 29 to 507 of the family's 1533-position model. The record is from RNAcentral.
AGCGAACGCUGGCGGCAGGCCUAACACAUGCAAGUCGAACGAACUCUUCGGAGUUAGUGGCGGACGGGUGAGUAACACGUGGGAACGUGCCUUUUGGUUCGGAAUAACUCAGGGAAACUUGUGCUAAUACCGAAUGUGCCCUUCGGGGGAAAGAUUUAUCGCCAUUAGAGCGGCCCGCGUCUGAUUAGCUAGUUGGUGAGGUAACGGCUCACCAAGGCGACCAUCAGUAGCUGGUCUGAGAGGAUGACCAGCCACACUGGGACUGAGACACGGCCCAGACUCCUACGGGAGGCAGCAGUGGGGAAUCUUGCGCAAUGGGCGAAAGCCUGACGCAGCCAUGCCGCGUGAAUGAUGAAGGUCUUAGGAUUGUAAAAUUCUUUCACCGGGGACGAUAAUGACGGUACCCGGAGAAGAAGCCCCGGCUAACUUCGUG